AUACGUAGGUGGCAAGCGUUGUCCGGAUUUACUGGGUGUAAAGGGCGUGUAGGCGGAGAUGCAAGUCAGGAGUGAAAUCUAGGGGCUCAACCCCUAAACUGCUUUUGAAACUGUAUCCCUUGAGUAUCGGAGAGGCAGGCGGAAUUCCUAGUGUAGCGGUGAAAUGCGUAGAGAUUAGGAAGAACACCAGUGGCGAAGGCGGCGUUCGGGAAGGGAACUGACGCUGAGGCACGAAAGCGUGGGGAGAAAACAGGAUUAGAUCCCCUGGUAGGCCACGCUGUAAACGAUGGAUACUAGGUGUAGGGGUUUAAAGACUUCUGUGCCGGAGUUAACGCAAUAAGUAUCCCGCCUGGGGAGUACGGCCGCAAGGCUAAAACUCAAAGGAAUUGGCGGGG
RNAcentral lists this ribosomal RNA (395 nucleotides) under uncultured bacterium. RNAcentral describes it as "partial 16S ribosomal RNA". It matches the Rfam family "Bacterial small subunit ribosomal RNA", at positions 523 to 918 of the family's 1533-position model. The record is from RNAcentral.